UACAGUUACAGAAGACGAUUCUACUCAUAAAGGGUUCUCAUUAUGUUUUUCAAUGUAUUCUAUUUUAUAGAAUCUCGGAGUUGGAAGAGAAUUUGGAGGCCACGUUUGAUAACAAGAGCCAAGAUCUCACAAGUUCUUUCCCAUGUAAACAUCAGACUGUAGAACCUCACUAAGAGAAAACACAGGUUGGGACUUUCCCCCCCUUUCUAAACUGAGACUAUUAGCUAUGUUCUGUCAGACAAAAAUUAUAGUCUCUGAAAUACCAGAUAGUUCAUAAGAGGUUAUAAAAAUGACUUUAUAAUCCCCUCUCCAUCAUGUAAGCAGACAUGUUUCAGCUUUCCAGCAUUUCCCCAUGUGGCCCAGUGCAGGACUUAACAUUGCAGAGAAACUCCCCAUAUGUGGCCCUGCGCAGAACUGCUUUAUUCAGCUGCAGAGAAGCCCAGAUGCUUUAUCGACUUUGUGCUUGGGUGGGUGACUUGGGUUAAUAGGGAUGGAGACAUGAAGCCAAAGGAAAAGAAAGAAGACCUUUGCCUUCUUAUUCAAAAGGAAAUGUUGAACAUCCCUAGUUCCUUCAAAGCAUCUUCUAGGGCAUGGACUAAAGACCUGUCGCCAUCCUGGAUGCCCUCUGCUGGACAGUCUUUAGAUUCUCAAAGGGAUGCUAGGAUGUCUAGAGACAAUGGCAGAGAUGGAAGAACAUUUGCUUCCAGGAUUCUGCUACAGAAAACAAAUACUCUCAAAGGCUUUAACAACAAGAAUUGUUCUCUGAAUGUCCACAGAGUCAUUGGAAAAGGACUUCACUUGGAAGUAAUUGGCUUCCUGACAUGUGGGUGCUUCGCACAAUAUUGGGAACAUAAUAAGUCCUUAAUAAAUAUGUGUUUUGAGGAACAGGAAAUGAAACAAAGGGGAAAAUGAAGAAAGAAGGAAAAGAAAAAGAGUACAGUGAGAACUAAGCUACUCUGAGAAUGUGCUAAAAGCUAUUGCAUGCGAAGAUAUAAAUGAAAUUAAAAAACAUCAAUAGUCCUUUCCAGGAGGAAUGGAAAUAAUAUCUCUGUAAUUUCAUGGUAUAGAAUGUUUUGAUCUCACAUUUGGGGGAAGUGAUUAAAGUCAUCAAAAGAAGAAACAGUUACUU
Molecule: long non-coding RNA, 1129 nt
Filed under: Monodelphis domestica (gray short-tailed opossum)
Lineage: Eukaryota; Metazoa; Chordata; Mammalia; Didelphimorphia; Didelphidae
Description: lncRNA (ENSMODG00000035349.2)
Source: RNAcentral